AAUAAGUGCAGCCAUGAGUUUCCGCGUCCAACUUUGAUCGUCCGUCUUAUUUAAAAUUUUUUUAUAAUUAGCAAUUUUGUUGUUAUAAGAUGAUAAAACAUAAAUAAUACUUUACUCGUGACUUAUGUUUUUAAUUUUUUUAAAAUUUUUUUUAAAUAAGACAAAUGAUCAAAGUUAGGCACUGAAAACCAUGGCUGCACUUAUU
Non-coding RNA from Oryza glumipatula, 205 nucleotides. NCBI's taxonomy places the organism in Eukaryota, Viridiplantae, Streptophyta, Magnoliopsida, Poales, Poaceae. The record is from Rfam.